CGAUCUCAUGCUGAGGUCAUUGUGCUAACCAAUUUGCCCGCGCCUCCGCAUAACCUUCGGGUUGCGUGGUGUGUGUGGGUCUUGGGGUCCCGGUGAUGGUAGGCAAGCGUGUUAACAGGGGUGACGCAGACAGGUAACUGCAGUGCGCCGAUGGUUGUGCGUAUUUAAGGUUGUGGCCCGCCCUUCAGGUAAAUCCGGGGGGCAUAAUGGGUGAGGACUGAUGAGGGACACACGCGUGUGUGGACUUGUGGUGAUCCUAUGCUGCCGAGAAAAGCCUCGACGUGAGGGCAUGACCUGCCCGUACCCUAAACCGACUCAGGUGGUCAGGUAGAGUAUACCGAGGCGUUCGAGUGAAUCGUGGUUAAGGAACUCGGCAAAAUUCCUCCGUAACUUCGGGAUAAGGAGGACCCCGUGACUUGCUCCCACCGUGCGUGGGUGUUGGGUUGUGGGGUCGCAGAGAAUAGGGAGAAGCGACUGUUUAUCAAAAACACAGGUGCGUGCGAAGCCGUAAGGCGAUGUAUACGCACUGACGCCUGCCCGGUGCUGGAAGGUUAAGAGGAACCGUUAACAUUCUUUGUGGGUGUGAAGCGGUGAAUUUAAGCCCCAGUAAACGGCGGUGGUAACUAUAACCAUCCUAAGGUAGCGAAAUUCCUUGUCGGGUAAGUUCCGACCUGCACGAAUGGCGUAACGACUUCUCCGCUGUCUCAACCGCGAACUCGGUGAAAUUGCAGUACGAGUAAAGAUGCUCGUUUCGCGCAGAAGGACGGAAAGACCCCGGGACCUUUACUAUAGCUUGGUAUUGGUGUUCGCUUGGACUUGUGUAGGAUAGGUGGGAGACUGUGAAGCUGCCGCGCCAGCGGUGGUGGAGUCGUCGUUGAAAUACCAUUCUGGUUCAAGCGGUCACCUCAACCUUGGCCCGUGAUCCGGGUUGGGGACAGUGCCUGGUGGGUAGUUUAACUGGGGCGGUUGCCUCCUAAAAUGUAACGGAGGCGCUCAAAGGUUCCCUCAGCCUGGUUGGUAAUCAGGUGGCGAGUGCAAGUGUACAAGGGAGCUUGACUGUGAGACCGACGGGUCGAGCAGGUGCGAAAGCAGGAACUAGUGAUCCGGCCAUGGCACGUGGGUGCGUGGUCGCUCAACGGAUAAAAGGUACCCCGGGGAUAACAGGCUGAUCUUGCCCAAGAGUCCAUAUCGACGGCAUGGUUUGGCACCUCGAUGUCGGCUCGUCGCAUCCUGGGGCUGGAGUCGGUCCCAAGGGUUGGGCUGUUCGCCCAUUAAAGCGGUACGCGAGCUGGGUUCAGAACGUCGUGAGACAGUUCGGUCCCUAUCCUCUGUGCGCGCAGGAAAUUUGAGGAGGGCCGUCCCUAGUACGAGAGGACCGGGAUGGACGAACCUCUGGUGUGCCAGUUGUACCGCCAGGUGCAUGGCUGGUUAGCUACGUUCGGAAGGGAUAACCGCUGAAAGCAUCUAAGCGGGAAGCCUGCUCCAAGAUGAGGUUUCCACGCCCCCCAGUGGGGUGAGAGGCCCCCGCCAGACGAGCGGGUUGAUAGGCCAGAGGUGGAAGCACCGCGAGGUGCUCGCGAGCCGACUGGUACUAAUGGGCCAACACUAAACAAC
Molecule: ribosomal RNA, 1614 nt
Filed under: human metagenome
Description: bacterial LSU rRNA
Rfam family: Bacterial large subunit ribosomal RNA
Source: RNAcentral